GCAUUCCUUCCCUGGUUCCUACCCUAGUCUAAGCCCACACUCAGCAAAGGAACUGGAAUCUGGGUCUGUGCUUACAGCGAGAAUAUGAAGCAGGUGGCAAAAGUGACUGUGCUCCUAAUCUUGGCCACGGGGAGCCUUGCUAAGACCACCCAGCCCCUCUCCAUGGACUCCUACGAAGGGCGAGAAGUGAAUGUGUCCUGCAGCCACGCAAACAUCGCUACAAGCGAGUACAUCUACUGGUACCGGCAGGUCCCCCGUGAGGGGCCACACUUUAUUAUUCAAGGGUAUAAGGACAACGUGGCAAAUGAAGUGGCAUCUCUGUUCAUCUCUGCCGACAGGAAGUUCAGCACUCUGAGCCUGCCCCUGGUUUCCCUGGGAGACAGUGCCGUGUACUACUGCAUCGUGGCUGACACACAGCGAGACAGCUGGGUCUGCACCUGUGCAGCGUUUCAGUUCGAUGGUGUAAAAAUGAACAAGUUAGAGGGCAGGGGCUGGAGAAAUGGUUUAGUCAUCAAGGGCACGAGUUGGCCUUAUAGAGGACUUGGGUUUCCUACACAGCAUCCACAAGCUGUCUCCCACAACUAUCCAUGA
This is a non-coding RNA of Meriones unguiculatus (Mongolian gerbil), 591 nucleotides long. Lineage: Eukaryota; Metazoa; Chordata; Mammalia; Rodentia; Muridae. The record is from the annotation of a RefSeq genome assembly.